RNAcentral lists this ribosomal RNA (352 nucleotides) under uncultured bacterium. RNAcentral's name for it is "bacterial SSU rRNA". It matches the Rfam family "Bacterial small subunit ribosomal RNA", at positions 527 to 881 of the family's 1533-position model. The record is from RNAcentral.
GGAAGGUCCGGGCGUUAUCCGGAUUUAUUGGGUUUAAAGGGAGCGCAGGCCGGGUAUUAAGCGUGUUGUGAAAUGUAGGCGCCCAACGUCUGCACCGCAGCGCGAACUGGUGCCCUUGAGUACGCACGACGUUGGCGGAAUUCGCCGUGUAGCGGUGAAAUGCUUAGAUAUGGCGAAGAACUCCGAUUGCGAAGGCAGCUGACGGGAGCGCUACUGACGCUCAUGCUCGAAAGCGCGGGUAUCGAACAGGAUUAGAUACCCUGGUAGUCCGCGCGGUAAACGAUGGAUGCCCGCUAUCUGCGCAUUGGCGCAAGUGGCCAAGUGAAAACGUUAAGCAUCCCACCUGGGGAGU